ACAAUGGAGGCAACUCUGAUCCAGCCAUGCCGCGUGCAGGAAGACUGCCCUAUGGGUUGUAAACUGCUUUUAUACAGGAAGAAACCUUUCCACGUGUGGAGAGCUGACGGUACUGUAAGAAUAAGGAUCGGCUAACUCCGUGCCAGCAGCCGCGGUAAUACGGAGGAUCCAAGCGUUAUCCGGAAUCAUUGGGUUUAAAGGGUCCGUAGGUGGAUAAUUAAGUCAGAGGUGAAAGUUUGCGGCUCAACCGUAAAAUUGCCUUUGAUACUGGUUAUCUUGAAUCAUUGUGAAGUGGUUAGAAUAUGUAGUGUAGCGGUGAAAUGCAUAGAUAUUACAUAGAAUACCAAUUGCGAAGGCAGAUCACUAACAAUGUAUUGACACUGAUGSACGAAAGCGUGGGGAGCGAACGGGACUUAGAUACCCCGGUAGUCCACGCCGUAAACGAUGGUCACUAGCUGUUCGGACUUCGGUCUGAGUGGCUAAGCGAAAGUGAUAAGUGACCCACCUGGGGAGUACG
RNAcentral lists this ribosomal RNA (517 nucleotides) under uncultured Flavobacteriia bacterium. RNAcentral's name for it is "bacterial SSU rRNA". It matches the Rfam family "Bacterial small subunit ribosomal RNA", at positions 368 to 884 of the family's 1533-position model. The record is from RNAcentral. Lineage: Bacteria; Pseudomonadati; Bacteroidota; Flavobacteriia.